Molecule: transfer RNA, 55 nt
Filed under: Piptatherum songaricum
Lineage: Eukaryota; Viridiplantae; Streptophyta; Magnoliopsida; Poales; Poaceae
Description: tRNA-Lys
Source: RNAcentral
UCUAGAAGACCACGACUGAUCCUCAAGGGUCCGGGUUCGAGUCCCGGGCAACCCA